GGGUUGUGAGGUUAAGCGACUAAGCGUACACGGUGGAUGCCCUGGCAGUCAGAGGCGAUGAAGGACGUGCUAAUCUGCGAUAAGCGUCGGUAAGGUGAUAUGAACCGUUAUAACCGGCGAUUUCCGAAUGGGGAAACCCAGUGUGAUUCGUCACACUAUCAUUAACUGAAUCCAUAGGUUAAUGAGGCGAACCGGGGGAACUGAAACAUCUAAGUACCCCGAGGAAAAGAAAUCAACCGAGAUUCCCCCAGUAGCGGCGAGCGAACGGGGAGCAGCCCAGAGCCUGAAUCAGUGUGUGUGUUAGUGGAAGCGUCUGGAAAGGCGUGCGAUACAGGGUGACAGCCCCGUACACAAAAAUGCACAUAUUGUGAGCUCGAUGAGUAGGGCGGGACACGUGGUAUCCUGUCUGAAUAUGGGGGGACCAUCCUCCAAGGCUAAAUACUCCUGACUGACCGAUAGUGAACCAGUACCGUGAGGGAAAGGCGAAAAGAACCCCGGCGAGGGGAGUGAAAAAGAACCUGAAACCGUGUACGUACAAGCAGUGGGAGCACGCUUAGGCGUGUGACUGCGUACCUUUUGUAUAAUGGGUCAGCGACUUAUAUUCUGUAGCAAGGUUAACCGAAUAGGGGAGCCGAAGGGAAACCGAGUCUUAACUGGGCGUUAAGUUGCAGGGUAUAGACCCGAAACCCGGUGAUCUAGCCAUGGGCAGGUUGAAGGUUGGGUAACACUAACUGGAGGACCGAACCGACUAAUGUUGAAAAAUUAGCGGAUGACUUGUGGCUGGGGGUGAAAGGCCAAUCAAACCGGGAGAUAGCUGGUUCUCCCCGAAAGCUAUUUAGGUAGCGCCUCGUGAAUUCAUCUCCGGGGGUAGAGCACUGUUUCGGCAAGGGGGUCAUCCCGACUUACCAACCCGAUGCAAACUGCGAAUACCGGAGAAUGUUAUCACGGGAGACACACGGCGGGUGCUAACGUCCGUCGUGAAGAGGGAAACAACCCAGACCGCCAGCUAAGGUCCCAAAGUCAUGGUUAAGUGGGAAACGAUGUGGGAAGGCCCAGACAGCCAGGAUGUUGGCUUAGAAGCAGCCAUCAUUUAAAGAAAGCGUAAUAGCUCACUGGUCGAGUCGGCCUGCGCGGAAGAUGUAACGGGGCUAAACCAUGCACCGAAGCUGCGGCAGCGACGCUUAUGCGUUGUUGGGUAGGGGAGCGUUCUGUAAGCCUGCGAAGGUGUGCUGUGAGGCAUGCUGGAGGUAUCAGAAGUGCGAAUGCUGACAUAAGUAACGAUAAAGCGGGUGAAAAGCCCGCUCGCCGGAAGACCAAGGGUUCCUGUCCAACGUUAAUCGGGGCAGGGUGAGUCGACCCCUAAGGCGAGGCCGAAAGGCGUAGUCGAUGGGAAACAGGUUAAUAUUCCUGUACUUGGUGUUACUGCGAAGGGGGGACGGAGAAGGCUAUGUUGGCCGGGCGACGGUUGUCCCGGUUUAAGCGUGUAGGCUGGUUUUCCAGGCAAAUCCGGAAAACUAAGGCUGAGGCGUGAUGACGAGGCACUACGGUGCUGAAGCAACAAAUGCCCUGCUUCCAGGAAAAGCCUCUAAGCAUCAGGUAACAUCAAAUCGUACCCCAAACCGACACAGGUGGUCAGGUAGAGAAUACCAAGGCGCUUGAGAGAACUCGGGUGAAGGAACUAGGCAAAAUGGUGCCGUAACUUCGGGAGAAGGCACGCUGAUAUGUAGGUGAAGUCCCUCGCGGAUGGAGCUGAAAUCAGUCGAAGAUACCAGCUGGCUGCAACUGUUUAUUAAAAACACAGCACUGUGCAAACACGAAAGUGGACGUAUACGGUGUGACGCCUGCCCGGUGCCGGAAGGUUAAUUGAUGGGGUUAGCGCAAGCGAAGCUCUUGAUCGAAGCCCCGGUAAACGGCGGCCGUAACUAUAACGGUCCUAAGGUAGCGAAAUUCCUUGUCGGGUAAGUUCCGACCUGCACGAAUGGCGUAAUGAUGGCCAGGCUGUCUCCACCCGAGACUCAGUGAAAUUGAACUCGCUGUGAAGAUGCAGUGUACCCGCGGCAAGACGGAAAGACCCCGUGAACCUUUACUAUAGCUUGACACUGAACAUUGAGCCUUGAUGUGUAGGAUAGGUGGGAGGCUUGGAAGUGUGGACGCCAGUCUGCAUGGAGCCGACCUUGAAAUACCACCCUUUAAUGUUUGAUGUUCUAACGUUGACCCGUAAUCCGGGUUGCGGACAGUGUCUGGUGGGUAGUUUGACUGGGGCGGUCUCCUCCUAAAGAGUAACGGAGGAGCACGAAGGUUGGCUAAUCCUGGUCGGACAUCAGGAGGUUAGUGCAAUGGCAUAAGCCAGCUUGACUGCGAGCGUGACGGCGCGAGCAGGUGCGAAAGCAGGUCAUAGUGAUCCGGUGGUUCUGAAUGGAAGGGCCAUCGCUCAACGGAUAAAAGGUACUCCGGGGAUAACAGGCUGAUACCGCCCAAGAGUUCAUAUCGACGGCGGUGUUUGGCACCUCGAUGUCGGCUCAUCACAUCCUGGGGCUGAAGUAGGUCCCAAGGGUAUGGCUGUUCGCCAUUUAAAGUGGUACGCGAGCUGGGUUUAGAACGUCGUGAGACAGUUCGGUCCCUAUCUGCCGUGGGCGCUGGAGAACUGAGGGGGGCUGCUCCUAGUACGAGAGGACCGGAGUGGACGCAUCACUGGUGUUCGGGUUGUCAUGCCAAUGGCACUGCCCGGUAGCUAAAUGCGGAAGAGAUAAGUGCUGAAAGCAUCUAAGCACGAAACUUGCCCCGAGAUGAGUUCUCCCUGACUCCUUGAGAGUCCUGAAGGAACGUUGAAGACGACGACGUUGAUAGGCCGGGUGUGUAAGCGCAGCGAUGCGUUGAGCUAACCGGUACUAAUGAACCGUGAGGCUUAACCUUACAACGCCGAAGCUGUU
Molecule: ribosomal RNA, 2930 nt
Filed under: Escherichia coli
Lineage: Bacteria; Pseudomonadati; Pseudomonadota; Gammaproteobacteria; Enterobacterales; Enterobacteriaceae
Description: 23S ribosomal RNA
Rfam family: Bacterial large subunit ribosomal RNA
Source: RNAcentral